This 184-nucleotide unclassified non-coding RNA is filed under the name uncultured Ascomycota. RNAcentral's name for it is "sequence contains ITS1". Lineage: Eukaryota; Fungi; Ascomycota. The record is from RNAcentral.
ACUAUAUUACGGGGGGCCGGACCCAGGGUACAGCGUACUCCGCUUGCCUUGACCUGCCCUGUCUGAAUAUUCUACCCAUGUCUUUUGCGUACUAUUUGUUUCCUUGGUGGGCUUGCCUGCCAUUAGGACACCAAUAAAACCUUUUUGUAAUUGCAAUCAGCGUCAGAAAUAAUUUUAAUAAUUA